Long non-coding RNA from Eriocheir sinensis (Chinese mitten crab), 1527 nucleotides. RefSeq lists it as uncharacterized. The transcript has 3 exons. The record is from RefSeq and is a predicted model, not a curated record. NCBI's taxonomy places the organism in Eukaryota, Metazoa, Arthropoda, Malacostraca, Decapoda, Varunidae.
GGGUGAGCCACUUUCCUCCCAGAAGAGACCCACCCAUAAUUUUGGUGAUGUUAGUUUGGGGCCGAAUGGUGGAUGAUGUUUCUUUGUAUGUUACUUUUCUUAAUGUUGCUCUGUUAUUGCUGUUACUUUUCUUUUGCGAUAUUUUUUUGCUCUUUUUUCCCCUAUUUUUUGGUGUUCUUUUCUAUAUCAUCCCUCUUUGAUGUUCUUUGGUCUGGAUGAGCCUCUUUCUCCCCAGAAAAGACCCACCCAUAAUUUUGGUGAUGUUAGUUUGGGGCCGAAUGGUGGAUGAUGUUUCUUUGUAUGUUACUUUUCUUGACGUUCUGUUAUUGUUGCUACUUUUCUUUUGCGAUGUUUUUUUCUCUUUUUCACAUUUUUUUGGUGUUCCUUUCUAUAUCAUCCAUUUAUGAUGUUCUUUGGUCUGGAUGAGCCUCUUUCUCCCCAGAAAAGACUCAUCCAUAAUUUUGGAGAUGUUAAGGCCUGAAGGUGGAUGAUCUGUGUUUUUCAUUUUCUUAUCUUGAUGUUUUGUUACUAUAUUUUCCUUUUUCUGGUGUUCCUUUUUUAUUUUCCUUUUCAUUGGUGUUCCCAUCACGUGGAUUGUCUACGACAUCUAACGAGCACCACAAGCCCCGGUUUAUUGUUCGGAGUUUGCUCUCCUAGGCAGACUGCCUACCACGGCUGACGGGCUCCACCUGCCCGGGUUUAUCGUUCGGAGUUUGCUCUCCUAGGCAGAUUGCCCACCACGGCUGACGAGCUCCACUUGCCCGGGUUUAUUGUUCGGAGUUUGCUCUCCUAGGUGAAUUGCCUACCACGGCUAACGAACCUCACCUGCCCGGGUUUGUAAUCGGAGUUUGCUCUCCUAGGUGAACUGCUUUCGCUAACGACCUCCACCUGCCCGGGUUUGUAAUCGGAGUUUGCUCUCCUAGAUGAAUUGCUUUCGCUAACGACCUCCACCUGCCCGGGUUUGUAAUCGGAGUUUGCUCUCCUAGAUGAAUUGCUUUCGCUAACGACCUCCACCUGCCCGGGUUUGUAAUCGGAGUUUGCUCUCCUAGGUGAACUGCUCACGCUAACGACCUUCACCUGCCCGGUUUUAUAAUCGGAGUUUGCUCUCCUAGAUGAACUGCUUUCGCUAACGAGCUCCACCUGCCCGGGUUUAUUGUUCGGAGUUUGCUCUCCUAGGUGUAUUACCUAUGACGGCUCACGAGCCCAACCUGCCCGGGUUUAUUGUUCGGAGUUUGCUCUCCUAGGUGUAUUACCUAUGACGGCUCACGAGCCCAACCUGCCCGGGUUUAUUGUUCGGAGUUUGCUCUCCUAGGUGUAUUACCUAUGACGGCUCACGAGCCCAACCUGCCCGGGUUUAUUGUUCGGAGUUUGCUCUCCUAGGUGAAUUGCCUACCACGGCUAACGAACCUCACCUGCCCGGGUUUGUUGUUCGGAGUUUGCUCUCCUAGGUGAAUUGCCUACCACGGCUAACGAACCUCACCUGCCCGGGUUUGUUGUUCGGAGUUUGCUCUCCUAGGCAGAUUGCCU